RNAcentral lists this ribosomal RNA (916 nucleotides) under uncultured archaeon. RNAcentral's name for it is "bacterial SSU rRNA". It matches the Rfam family "Archaeal small subunit ribosomal RNA", at positions 1 to 922 of the family's 1478-position model. The record is from RNAcentral.
UUUCCGGUUGAUCCUGCCGCCGGCCACCGCUAUCAAGUUCCGACUAAGCCAUGCGAGUCAAGGUAUCGUAAGAUGCCGGCAAACUGCUCAGUAACACGUGGAUAAUCUAACCUUGAGUAAGGGAUAACCUCGGGAAACUGAGGAUAAUACCUUAUAAUUGCUUAAAACUGGAAUGUUUAAGCAAUAAAAGUUCCGACGCUCAAGGAUGAGUCUGCGACCUAUCAGGUAGUAGGUGGUGUAAUGGACCACCUAGCCUCAGACGGGUACGGGCCCUGGGAGGGGUAGCCCGGAGAUGGACUCUGAGACAUCAGUCCAGGCCCUACGGGGCGCAGCAGGCGCGAACACUGUGCAAUGCGCGAAAGCGCGACACGGGGAGCUUGAGUGUCUUGGCAUAGCCAAGACUCUUCUCAUUCCUAAAAAGCAUGAGGAAUAAGUGCUGGGUAAGACGGGUGCCAGCCGCCGCGGUAACACCCGCAGCACAAGUGGUGGUCACUUUUAUUGAGCCUAAAGCGUUCGUAGCCGGUUUUGUAAAUCUUUAGAUAAAGCCUGAAGCUUAACUCCAGAAAGUCUGAAGAGACUGCAAGACUUGAGAUCGGGUGAGGUUAAACGUACUUUCAGGGUAGGGGUAAAAUCCUGUAAUCCCGGAAGGACGACCAGUGGCGAAAGCGUUUAACUAGAACGAAUCUGACGGUAAGGAACGAAGGCUAGGGUAGCAAACCGGAUUAGAUACCCGGGUAGUCCUAGCUGUAAACACUGCCCAUUUGAUGUUGCUUUUCCGUUGAGGGAAGGCAGUGUCGGAGCGAAGGUGUUAAAUGGGCCGCUUGGGAAGUAUGGUCGCAAGACUGAAACUUAAAGGAAUUGGCGGGGGAGCACCGCAACGGGAGGAAUGUGCGGUUUAAUUGGAUUCAACGCCGGA